GGUGAUAUGGCUCAGUAGUAGAGCACUUGCCUCUCAUGUGUGAGGCCCUGGGCUUAAUCCCCAGCACCA
RNAcentral lists this transfer RNA (69 nucleotides) under Heterocephalus glaber (naked mole-rat). It matches the Rfam family "tRNA". Rfam says of the family: Transfer RNA (tRNA) molecules are approximately 80 nucleotides in length. Lineage: Eukaryota; Metazoa; Chordata; Mammalia; Rodentia; Bathyergidae. The record is from Rfam by way of RNAcentral.